This 497-nucleotide ribosomal RNA is filed under the name uncultured bacterium. Its description in RNAcentral is "partial 16S ribosomal RNA". It matches the Rfam family "Bacterial small subunit ribosomal RNA", at positions 28 to 507 of the family's 1533-position model. The record is from RNAcentral.
GAUGAACGCUGGCGGCGUGCCUAAUACAUGCGAGUCGAGCGAACGGACGAGAAGCUUGCUUCUCGGAUGUUAGCGGCGGACGGGUGAGUAACACGUGGAUAACCUACCUAUAAGACUGGGAUAACUUCGGGAAACCGGAGCUAAUACCGGAUAAUAUUUUGAACCGCAUGGUUCAAAAGUGAAAGACGGUCUUGCUGUCACUUAUAGAUGGAUCCGCGCUGCAUUAGCUAGUUGGUAAGGUAACGGCUUACCAAGGCAACGAUGCAUAGCCGACCUGAGAGGGUGAUCGGCCACACUGGAACUGAGACACGGUCCAGACUCCUACGGGAGGCAGCAGUAGGGAAUCUUCGGCAAUGGGCGGAAGCCUGACGGAGCAACGCCGCGUGCGUGAUGAAGGUCUUCGGAUCGUAAAACUCUGUUAUUAGGGAAGAACAUAUGUGUACGUAACUGUGCACAUCUUGACGGUACCUAAUCAGAAAGCAACGGCUAACUACGUG